UUGGAUGAAAAAUUUACUUUCUUUAUUUUAAAUAUAAAAUUUAAUUUUUAAGUUAAAAAGCUUAAAUUUUUAUAUAGGACGAGAAGACCCUAUAGAACUUUAUUUUUUAUUAAAAAUAUAUUAUUUUGAAAAUGAUUUUUAUUUUUUUAUUUGAAAUUAUAUUGGGGUGAUAAAAAAAAUUUAAUAACUUUUUUUAUUUUUUUCAUUUAUAUAUGAUAUUUUGAUCCUAUAAUAUGGAAAUAAGAUUAAGUUACCUUAGGGAUAACAGCGUUAUUACUUUGGAGAGUUCAAAUCUAUAAAGUAGUUUGCCACCUC
This 315-nucleotide ribosomal RNA is filed under the name Plagiognathus collaris. Its description in RNAcentral is "partial 16S ribosomal RNA". Lineage: Eukaryota; Metazoa; Arthropoda; Insecta; Hemiptera; Miridae. The record is from RNAcentral.